UUUCACCCAAGUUUGCAGCAGCUCCAGGCAGAAAAAGAGGCGCUGAGCAACACGCAGAGGGCAGAGGCAGAGCAGGAAAUUCAGGAGCUGCAGGAGCAGAAGAGGCGGCUGCAAGAAGAGCUGGAGGCUGCGGCACAGGUGGAGAAGGGGCUGCGGGAGCAGAGUGAGGAGCUCAGCCGGGAGCUGCAGGAGGUGCAGAGUCGACACGAUGCCCUUCAGGCUCAGCUCCAGGAGCGCUCCCAGGAGCAGGAGGAGCUGCGGCAGCGCUUGGAAGCAGCUGAGAGCACACAGGGGGACACAGAGCAGCGCCUGCGGCAGGCACAGGUCAGAUCUCCCACCCCAAA
Molecule: non-coding RNA, 344 nt
Organism: Meleagris gallopavo (turkey)
Lineage: Eukaryota; Metazoa; Chordata; Aves; Galliformes; Phasianidae
Source: RefSeq, a predicted model, not a curated record